RNAcentral lists this long non-coding RNA (370 nucleotides) under Homo sapiens (human). RNAcentral's name for it is "LHRI_LNC355.1". The record is from RNAcentral. Lineage: Eukaryota; Metazoa; Chordata; Mammalia; Primates; Hominidae.
GUUUUAGCUAUUACAAUGCUGGUUGAAUAUCCUCAUAGCUAAAUAUCUGUGCAGUUUUAAAAUUUCCUUAUAAGUUACUAGAAAUGGAAUGACUGGGUUAAAGGACAUGAUCAUUUUUUAAGACUCUUGAUACAUACUUACAAAUUGCCUCCCGAAAAAGUGGUGCUAAUUUACUCAAAUUGGUAAGCCUCACCCCCUCUGUGGAUCAUUCCUUGCACUAAGUUUCUUCCAACUCUGUCACCUCCAGCUUUUUACUCACAGCCUACCUUCCAAUCUGGGGCCCAGCUCCCAGAUCGGAAGAUACCAGACUUUGGUAUUGAACCAAAGUCCAAUACACUGCACUGGCAUUCAGAGUCCCUUUUUAUUCCGC